This 492-nucleotide ribosomal RNA is filed under the name uncultured bacterium. Its description in RNAcentral is "partial 16S ribosomal RNA". It matches the Rfam family "Bacterial small subunit ribosomal RNA", at positions 28 to 523 of the family's 1533-position model. The record is from RNAcentral.
GGUUAACGCUAGCGGUGCGCCUAACACAUGCAAGUCGAGCGGGAUUAUUUGGAAGCUUGCUUCUAGAUAUGAGAGCGGCGAACGGGUGAGGAACACGUUGGAAUCUGCCCCCAAGUCAGGGAUAGCGAGACGAAAUUCUCAUUAAUACCGGAUAGUCACUUAGGAUUAAAAAUAUAUUGCUUGGGGAAGAGCCUGCGUUCUAUCAGCUAGUUGGUGAGAUAAAAGCACACCAAGGCUAUGACGGAUAACUGGUCUGAGAGGAUGAUCAGUCACACUGGAACUGAGACACGGUCCAGACUCCUACGGGAGGCAGCAGUGGGGAAUAUUGGACAAUGGGCGAAAGCCUGAUCCAGCCAUGCCGCGUGUGUGAAGAAGGUCUUCGGAUUGUAAAGCACUUUAAGUCGGGAGGAAGGGCUGUAGGUUAAUACCCUGCGGUUUUGACGUUACCGACAGAAUAAGCACCGGCUAACUUCGUGCCAGCCGCCGCCGUAA